GAUGAACGCUGGCGGCGUGCCUAAUACAUGCAAGUCGAGCGAACAGAUAAGGAGCUUGCUCCUUUGACGUUAGCGGCGGACGGGUGAGUAAAACGUGGGUAACCUACCUAUAAGACUGGGAUAACUUCGGGAAACCGGAGCUAAUACCGGAUAACAUUUGGAACCGCAUGGUUCUAAAGUGAAAGAUGGUUUUGCUAUCACUUAUAGAUGGACCCGCGCCGUAUUAGCUAGUUGGUAAGGUAAAGGCUUACCAAGGCGACGAUACGUAGCCGACCUGAGAGGGUGAUCGGCCACGCUGGAACUGAGACACGGUCCAGACUCCUACGGGAGGCAGCAGUAGGGAAUCUUCCGCAAUGGGCGAAAGCCUGACGGAGCAACGCCGCGUGAGUGAUGAAGGGUUUCGGCUCGUAAAACUCUGUUAUUAGGGAAGAACAAACGUGUAAGUAACUGUGCACGUCUUGACGGUACCUAAUCAGAAAGCCACGGCUAACUACGUG
This 497-nucleotide ribosomal RNA is filed under the name uncultured bacterium. Its description in RNAcentral is "partial 16S ribosomal RNA". It matches the Rfam family "Bacterial small subunit ribosomal RNA", at positions 28 to 507 of the family's 1533-position model. The record is from RNAcentral.